Molecule: ribosomal RNA, 497 nt
Filed under: uncultured bacterium
Lineage: Bacteria
Description: partial 16S ribosomal RNA
Rfam family: Bacterial small subunit ribosomal RNA
Source: RNAcentral
GAUGAACGCUGGCGGCGUGCCUAAUACAUGCAAGUCGAGCGAACGGACGAGAAGCUUGCUUCUCUGAUGUUAGCGGCGGACGGGUGAGUAACACGUGGAUAACCUACCUAUAAGACUGGGAUAAUUUCGGGAAACCGGAGCUAAUACUGGAUAAUAUUUUGAACCGCAUGGUUCAAAAGUGAAAGACGGUCUUGCUGUCACUUAUAGAUGGAUCCGCGCUGCAUUAGCUAGUUGGUAAGGUAACGGCUUACCAAGGCAACGAUGCAUAGCCGACCUGAGAGGGUGAUCGGCCACACGGGAACUGAGACACGGUCCAGACGCCUACGAGAGGCAGCAGUAGGGAAUCUUCCGCAAUGGGCGAGAGCCUGACGGAGCAACGCGGCGUGAGUGAUGAAAGUCUUCGGAUCGUAAAACUCUGUUAUUAGGGAAGAACAUAUGUGUAAGUAACUGUGCACAUCUUGACGGUACCUAAUCAGAAAGCCACGGCUAACUACGUG